GACUACACUUCCAUGACCCCUCACUGGCCAGCAAGGAAUGCUUUUCCAGUCAGAAGGCAAUCAGGGAGAGUUCAACCUUGACAGUACCCUACAGCUAAAUCUCCUGGUUUUUAAACUAUAAAGGAAAGUCAUCACAUUGAGACAACUGCCAUUUACUAGAGGAAGAGGUUUUUGUCACAUGCUUGCCUCCAACAAGGAGCUACCCUUUAUAAAAGCAAUGAAGAUGGUUUUGUGCAGUGUAUUCUGUUGGGUGUUUACACCUUGUGUGAACUCAACCAUUAACGAAUGCUAGAUUUUGUCUUUCAGCUUUAGGCAGUUGCUGUAUCUCAAGGUGUACACAAAAAGGGGAAAAAAGGCAAACACUGAAUAAGAGUUGAUCGUGAAUGGAAGGAGAUAGGCAAUAGAAAGUGACAGAAGGCAUUUCAGCCAUGUUUGAACUGAUGGCAGUGCUUUUUGUCAGUAGCUGAAGUGUCUGGAGCAUUCAAUGCCAUGGACAAUGCAGAUCCGAUGCCGCACUCAGGCUGCAGUUUGAACCCUCUGAAGCAAAAAAGAGCUCAGCUCCUUGCUCACCAGGCUGUAACAAAGAAAGGGAUACAGCAGAAAAGGCUGGAAAAUCAGUGAGAAGUUGUGUGCUUUGGUGAUACCUAGAGAGGCUGGCAGAAACCUAGAAGAUGACUAUGGGGUCCUUGAGGAGACAACUGUAGAUAUCCUGAAAUCAAAGAAGCUGAGAAACUCAGAAACUGGUAAGUGAGUCUGAUCCCACAGAGGGAAAGUUGUUAUUGAGUUACUGCCCUGCCAAAAGAAACAAACAAGAAUGGGGUGCAAAAACAUAGAGAAAGAGCUUGGGAGGAAGUAGCAGAAAUGCUCAAGACCUGAAAAAGUUGAUUUGUGUGGGUGAAUUAGGAAUUCAACAGGCAACUUCCAGUUACAGAUUACUCACAUAUGUUGAAUAGUAAAUGUGCCUGGAGAAAAUGGGCAUCCAGAAGCACAG
RNAcentral lists this long non-coding RNA (991 nucleotides) under Numida meleagris (helmeted guineafowl). RNAcentral describes it as "lncRNA (ENSNMEG00000014375.1)". The record is from RNAcentral. Lineage: Eukaryota; Metazoa; Chordata; Aves; Galliformes; Numididae.